GACCCCGGAGGGUCCGAACUGUCUCAGCGGAGAAAGGGGACAUAGUGUGCUGGCGAGCGCUGGCUGUUGGCGUUAGAGCUCCGGCUGUGGCUCAGUCUGGGGCGCGGUUCUUGCCAACACACCAUGUCCAGAGACAGGUGACAAAAAAAAAUUCAAAUUUCAAACCAGCUCUGGAUGUAAAUGAAAAACACAGGGUCCCACUUAUGUUAAGGCAGGCAUGUCUUUCGCCUUCUUACUCGCACCUUCCGCUAUGGAUUCGCUCUUCAGGGGGCACUGAGACAUCCUACAGUGCCCUGGACGGCCCACCCCAACCAUGGUAUCCGUUGUCCAACCGUUUUGGAUACCCCAGAAUCGGUCUCCCUUAUCCCCCCUUACAGCUUGGUGCACUACCCCCUUCUUACCUUAGAUAACUACUCCUCCAUUGUGAAAUGAAAACUAGGCAAAGGCGAAUUUCAUUUCAAACGUUAUAAACGGUGUAUUGGGUCUUCUCUUGGUGUCUGGCCUUCCUUCAGGGUCGUCUCUCCUAACUGGAGUCAGUGCUGGAGCGGCUGAGCAGUGCCCACGCUUUCCUCUUGUCUGUCCGUCCGUCUGGUCGUGGCCUAAGUUCGCAAAGCGAACACCAACAACAGUAAGGGCUCCUUUCCGCCCAAAAGGUCUAGAAUCUUUACCCCCUGGCCCUAGGUUGAGCUCGACCUAACAGCUGAGGACAGCGCCUAUUUAUUCUAGCGCUGUGUUACUAAUAGAAAGGAAAUAUGUGUGUCAAGGUCCUGUCCGUCCGUCUGAGUUCACGUAUACGUCCCGCAAUAGUGUUCGUGAGGAAAAGGGUACCUGCAGCACUGUCGGCUGACCAGUGCUUUUGAUAUAGAGCUUCCCACGAUGGACAAAGGAGGUGGAGGUGUAGCUUUAUGUUUUCGCGUUUGGCUUUUUGUUAUUUUGUGAUCAACUUUAGUGGUGUCUAUUGUCUUUGAUUUUCAAGUUUAGGAUUUUUAACUAUUGACUUUGAUUUAGUUUUUAGUUUUUUUUUUUUUUAGGUCUUUUAUUAUUACAUUGGUAUUUUCCUUUUUUUUCAGGUUCUUUGGCUUUGUUUCGAAACUUUUCCCUUUUCAGGUUCCUUUUUAUUUAAUUUGAUAACAUUUCUUUUUUUUCCAGAGUUUUCAUAGAUUUUCUUUUUCAGCUUUUAAUAACUUUCAGUUCGAUUUAUUUUAAUCACCUUUUUUUCAUAAUCUUCUUUUUCAGCUCUUUAGUUUUUAAUUUGUAUUUAUUUUCAUUUAUUUUGUUACAGCUUUUAAAACUUCUCAAUAAUUUAUAGUUAAUUUUUUUCCUCUUUCAGCAAAUGUGCUGAAAGUUCAAUAAAUCACUUUAAAACUUUGAAUUUGGUCUUUUUCUUUGUUGUUGGGUAAAAGCCAGUUCCGCCUCCUUUUCUCUGCCGAAUCCAAAACCAAAAAGACUUUCUUUCUUUUUGAAAACACCACUUUCAACACUCUUCUGUACACCACCUCUUACUCCUUGCACGGCUCCAUCCAAAAAGAACUAGUCAUCUUCCCUUUACUGUCCAUCAUGGUUCCCCCAAGCCAUCAUGUCCACCGAGGAACCAUCAUAAAAUUUUGUUUUCCAAAAUCGCAAAAACAAAUAACAUAUGGUUUCCUCGAUUUUCAUUGUAGUAGUUACAUUUGUAUGUGGAGGUAACAUAUGCUGGUAACGCAG
Long non-coding RNA from Stomoxys calcitrans (stable fly), 1704 nucleotides. RefSeq lists it as uncharacterized. The transcript is spliced from 4 exons. NCBI's taxonomy places the organism in Eukaryota, Metazoa, Arthropoda, Insecta, Diptera, Muscidae. The record is from RefSeq and is a predicted model, not a curated record.